Molecule: long non-coding RNA, 751 nt
Organism: Lolium rigidum
Lineage: Eukaryota; Viridiplantae; Streptophyta; Magnoliopsida; Poales; Poaceae
Exons: 3
Source: RefSeq, a predicted model, not a curated record
CUGUGGUUUUGUGUAACAGUACUCUUGUUUUUAUGUAAACAGUGCGCAAGUUUGGUCACUAGAAUUAAUUCUGUUCAUUUUAUUGCCCAGCUUUGUUUGCCAUGAAUAUGAAAUGUGCAAGAAAAUGGCUGCUGCUGCUUUUUUAGCAUAUGAAUGUGUCGAAAUAGCUUAUCUCAAGGCUGCAUACCACAAGUACGCCAUUGCAAGCAAGGAUCGUCAGGUGUUUCAGGCAGCUGUGCAGACUACACCAGGUAGUUGAUCUAAUUGGUGAACAAUAAGGGUCUUAGAAAGAAGUUCUAACGUCAGGUUCUGAUCGACCUAGAUCUCGAUGGUGCUGGAAACUCUAAUGAGUUGACUAAACUCGUGCACAAGGUCCAUUUGCUUUGCCUGCUAGCAUGGGGUAGGGUAAUUGACAAGGCUUGCAAUGAUCCUCUUAUUCAGGUGCAUAAUAUGUGUAUUCAUUUCUACCCUUUAAAUUGCCCGUGUUCCAAAAUGAUGCAAUUUCAUGAUACAUUUUCAGAAGUUCUAAACUGAGGCAUCUUUCAAGAUAAACCAUGUUUGUUGUUCAAAUGUUCUUUUCAGGCUUCAGUUCUCUAUGUGUUACCACACGAUUCAGUAUGGAUUGGUUUAGACAUUCAGAAACUGGGAUGCUAAUAACCUGUGUAGUCUUGUGAGCUGGGUAAGCCCCCUUUGGGCCUUAUAUGUAUUUAACUAUUGUUCCCAUAUGUUGUUUACCUUUCUUAAAAAACAA